AGCUAAUACUUGCUUUAGCACUCUUGAUUUAUUUCUUGAGUGUGUACUUGUUAAGCCUUAUAAGAGAAGAGUUAUUAACUUAAGGAAUUAUAACAAAGAAGUAACACGUAAUGGAUUCUUCCAUUUUUUAGUGUGUAUCAAUCGAGUUUCUGACCUAUCAGCUUUUGAUGUUAGGGUAUUGGCCUAACAUGGCUAUGACGGGUAACGGGGAAUUAGAGUUCGAUUCCGGAGAGGGAGCCUGAGAAAUAGCUACCACAUCUAAGGAAGGCAGCAGGCGCGUAAAUUACCCAAUUCUAAAGAAGAGAGAUAGUGACAAGAAAUAACAAUACAAGGCCAAUCUGGCUUUGUAAUUGGAAUGAUGGGAAUUUAAAACCUUCCCAAAAUUCAAUUGGAGGGCAAGUCUGGUGCCAGCAGCCGCGGUAAUUCCAGCUCCAAUAGCGUAUAUUAAAAUUGUUGCAGUUAAAACGCUCGUAGUUGAAUUUCAAAGAAUCGAUAUUUUAAGUAACGCUUCUAGCUAUAAAUCCACAUAACUGAUGCCUCCGCGUAUCGACUUUGUGCGCAUUUUAGCUAUUAUGUGUUCUUUUAAUUAAAAUGAUUCUUUUUAAGAUUCAUCUAUUAAAAAUUUGCCUCGGCAUAAUUUUUUUUGAUGAUCUUGUUACUUUGAGUAAAUUAGAGUGUUCAAAGCAAACAGAUAUAGCAUUUGUGCGUUUGAAUACUACAGCAUGGAAUAACAAAAUUGAACAAGUCAGAAUUUUUUUGUUCUUUUUUCUUAUUUUGGCUUAGUUACGAUUAAUAGGAGUAGCUUGGGGGCAUUUGUAUUCAGAUGUCAGAGGUGAAAUUCUUAGAUUUUCUGGAGACAAACAACUGCGAAAGCAUUUGCCUAAAAUACUUCCAUUAAUCAAGAACGAAAGUUAAGGGAGUGAAGACGAUCAGAUACCGUCGUAAUCUUAACCAUAAACUAUGCCGACUAGGCUUUGGAUGAAAGAUUUUAAAAUAAGAGUUUU
This 1004-nucleotide ribosomal RNA is filed under the name Plasmodium knowlesi. Its description in RNAcentral is "SSU rRNA". It matches the Rfam family "Eukaryotic small subunit ribosomal RNA", at positions 162 to 1076 of the family's 1831-position model. Lineage: Eukaryota; Apicomplexa; Aconoidasida; Haemosporida; Plasmodiidae. The record is from RNAcentral.